UGAGCCUGUCGGCCAUCAUCGACGGCAAGGUGGGCUCACCUGGGGCACCUGGGGGCACCUGGGCACACCUGGGCACACCUGGGCACACCUGGGCGCACCUGGGCACAGCUGGGGUACAGCUGGGCACAUCUGGGGUACACCUGGGCACACCUGGGGCGGGUGGGACACCGAGAUCUUCGACUACCUGAGCCUGUCGGCCAUCAUCAACGGCAAGGUGGGCUCACCUGGGGCACCUGGGGGCACACCUGGGCACACCUGGGCGCACCUGGGGGUACCUGGGGGCACCUGGGGGCACCUGGGAGGGGUUGGGACACCAAGGUCCCAAAAUGAUCCCAAAUCCCCCAAAUGUCCCCAAAUCCCCCAAAUGUCCCAAAAUGUCCCCAAAUACCCCAAAUCCCCAAAAUGUCCCAAAAUGUCCCCAAAUCCCCGAAAUGUCCCAAAAUUUCCCAAAUGUCCCCAAAUGUCUCCAAAUCCCCCAAAUUCCCCAAAUGUCUCAAAAUGUCCCCAAAUCCCCCCAAAACGACAUGAAAUGCCCCAAAUUCCCAGACUUUCUGCGUGCACAGCGGCCUCUCCCCGUCCAUCCAGACCCUGCCCUGUCCCAAACCCCCCAAAUGCCCCAAAAUGUCCCAAAUCCGCCCAAAAUGACCCAAGUCCCCCCAAAUCCCCCAAAUGUCCCAAAUCCCCCAAAUGUCCCCAAAUCCCCCCAAAACGACCCGAAAUGCCCCAAAUUCCCAGAUUUUCUGCGUGCACGGCGGCCUCUCGCCGUCCAUCCAGACGCUGGACCAGAUCCGCACCAUCGACCGCAAGCAGGAGGUGCCGCACGACGGCCCCAUGUGUGACCUGCUCUGGUCCGACCCCGAGGGUACGGCGGGCACGGGGGGCACGGGGGGGGACAGGUGAGGGACAGGUGAGGGACAGGUGAGGGACAGGUGAGACAGGCAAAAAAAACCCCCCAAAAAUCCCAAAAUCCCCAAGGUUCUACCCAAAAUUCACUGAAUUGGCCUCAAAAAUCACCUGAAUGGGGCCCAAAACUCACCUGAAUGGGGCCCAAAAAUCACCUGAGUUGUCCAUGGUGAGGGACAGGUGAGGUACAGGUGAGGGACAGGUGAGGGACAGGUGAGGGACAGGUGAGACAGGCAAAAAAAACCCCCCAAAAAUCCCAAAAUCCCCAAGGUUCUACCCAAAAUUCACUGAAUUGGCCUCAAAAAU
This 1209-nucleotide long non-coding RNA is filed under the name Chloebia gouldiae (Gouldian finch). RNAcentral's name for it is "Erythrura gouldiae (Gouldian finch) lncRNA (ENSEGOG00005017896.1)". Lineage: Eukaryota; Metazoa; Chordata; Aves; Passeriformes; Passeridae. The record is from RNAcentral.